This 464-nucleotide ribosomal RNA is filed under the name Vreelandella stevensii. RNAcentral's name for it is "partial 16S ribosomal RNA". It matches the Rfam family "Bacterial small subunit ribosomal RNA", at positions 338 to 795 of the family's 1533-position model. Lineage: Bacteria; Pseudomonadati; Pseudomonadota; Gammaproteobacteria; Oceanospirillales; Halomonadaceae. The record is from RNAcentral.
CCUACGGGUGGCUGCAGUGGGGAAUAUUGGACAAUGGGGGCAACCCUGAUCCAGCCAUGCCGCGUGUGUGAAGAAGGCCCUCGGGUUGUAAAGCACUUUCAGUGAGGAAGAACGCCUGGUGGUUAAUACCCAUCAGGAAAGACAUCACUCACAGAAGAAGCACCGGCUAACUCCGUGCCAGCAGCCGCGGUAAUACGGAGGGUGCGAGCGUUAAUCGGAAUUACUGGGCGUAAAGCGCGCGUAGGUGGCUUGAUAAGCCGGUUGUGAAAGCCCGGGCUCAACCUGGGAACGGCAUCCGGAACUGUCAAGCUAGAGUGCAGGAGAGGAAGGUAGAAUUCCCGGUGUAGCGGUGAAAUGCGUAGAGAUCGGGAGGAAUACCAGUGGCGAAGGCGGCCUUCUGGACUGACACUGACACUGAGGUGCGAAAGCGUGGGUAGCAAACAGGAUUAGAUACCCGUGUAGUC